This 207-nucleotide ribosomal RNA is filed under the name Triticum aestivum (bread wheat). RNAcentral's name for it is "partial small subunit ribosomal RNA". The record is from RNAcentral. Lineage: Eukaryota; Viridiplantae; Streptophyta; Magnoliopsida; Poales; Poaceae.
AUGGGGCUGGCGGUGGGGAUCACCGCGGGCGUCGCUCUCAUCGUGGCCUUCGCCCGCCGCAGAACUCGCGCUGCAAGCACAGCCGCAGCUGGGAGGUUCAAGCCAGCUGAGAUUUCAGCCACGUUUUGGUGGAUUUCUUGCAGCAACUUCAGAGAAUCUUGUGUCUAUACUGGAUGUGGAAACACAGGCUUUUGUGAGGAUAUUUGA